CCCGUGCUACAACCGCGCAGAACAGGUUUUUAAACUUACAUAGUUAAGUACCUGUAUGGCGAGUCUGGGUUAAUUC
Ornithinibacillus halophilus is the source of this 76-nucleotide regulatory RNA element. The record is from Rfam. NCBI's taxonomy places the organism in Bacteria, Bacillati, Bacillota, Bacilli, Caryophanales, Bacillaceae.